UGCCCGUUGGUCCAGCCGGCAGGACGCCGCGCUCUGGUCGCGGAGACCGAGGUUCGAAUCCUCGACGGGCAG
This 72-nucleotide transfer RNA is filed under the name Actinophytocola xinjiangensis. RNAcentral describes it as "Actinophytocola sp. QAIII60 tRNA". It matches the Rfam family "tRNA". From Rfam's summary of the family: Transfer RNA (tRNA) molecules are approximately 80 nucleotides in length. The record is from Rfam by way of RNAcentral. Lineage: Bacteria; Bacillati; Actinomycetota; Actinomycetes; Pseudonocardiales; Pseudonocardiaceae.